CAACCCUCAAGCCCGGCUUGGUGUUGGGGAUCGGCGUCGCGCCCCCGGGCGCUGCCGUCCCCUAAAUCUAGUGGCGGUCCCGCUGCAGCCUCUCGUGCGUAGUAGUCUUCUCCUCGCACUGGCAGCUCGGCGUGAUCCUGCCGUUAAACCCCCAACUUCUGAAA
Molecule: unclassified non-coding RNA, 164 nt
Filed under: uncultured Volutella
Lineage: Eukaryota; Fungi; Ascomycota; Sordariomycetes; Hypocreales; Nectriaceae
Description: sequence contains ITS2
Source: RNAcentral